Molecule: ribosomal RNA, 253 nt
Filed under: uncultured bacterium
Lineage: Bacteria
Description: partial 16S ribosomal RNA
Rfam family: Bacterial small subunit ribosomal RNA
Source: RNAcentral
UACGUAGGGCGCAAGCGUUGUCCGGAAUUAUUGGGCGUAAAGGGCUCGUAGGCGGUCCAUCGCGUCGGGAGUGAAAAGCUGGGGCUUAACCCCAGUCCUGCUUUCGAUACGGGUGGACUAGAGGUAGGCAGGGGAGAAUGGAAUUCCUGGUGUAGCGGUGAAAUGCGCAGAUAUCAGCAGGAACACCGGUGGCGAAGGCGGUUCUCUGGGCCUUACCUGACGCUGAGGAGCGAAAGCAUGGGGAGCAAACAGG